AUUGAACGCUGGCGGCAUGCCUUACACAUGCAAGUCGAACGGCAGCACGGGUCCUUGCCCCUGGUUGCGAGUCGCGCGCGUGUGAAUUGUCUAUCGGUCUAUCUCCUGUUGUGGGGUAUAGUCCGGCGACGGCCGGUUUUAUACCGCAUACCCUCUGCGGGAUAGUGCGGGGUCUCCUCACGUCUCGCUCUCUGGUGUUCGUAGGUCGGAUUAGCUAGUUGGUGGGGUAAAGGCCUACCAAGGCGACGAUCAGUAGCUGGUCUGAGAGGACGAUCAGCCACACUGGAACUGAGACACGGUCCAGACUCCUACGGGAGGCAGCAGUGGGGAAUUUUGGACAAUGGGCGAAAGCCUGAUCCAGCAAUGCCGCGUGUGUGAAGAAGGCCUUCGGAUUGUAAAGCACUUUUGUUCGGAAAGAAAGCCUGGGAGCUAAUACAGUCGGGGGAUGACGGUACCGGAAGAAUAAGCACCGGCUAACUACGUG
This 484-nucleotide ribosomal RNA is filed under the name uncultured bacterium. RNAcentral describes it as "partial 16S ribosomal RNA". It matches the Rfam family "Bacterial small subunit ribosomal RNA", at positions 30 to 507 of the family's 1533-position model. The record is from RNAcentral.